CCUACGGGGGGCAGCAGUGAGGAAUAUUGGUCAAUGGGCGCGAGCCUGAACCAGCCAAGUCGCGUGAGGGAGGACGGCCCUACGGGUUGUAAACCUCUUUUGCCGGGGAGCAACGGGCGUCACGUGUGGCGCCACUGAGAGUACCCGGAGAAAAAGCAUCGGCUAACUCCGUGCCAGCAGCCGCGGUAAUACGGAGGAUCCGAGCGUUAUCCGGAUUUAUUGGGUUUAAAGGGAGCGUAGAUGGGUUGUUAAGUCAGUGGUGAAAGUUUGGGGCUCAACCGUAAAAUUGCAAUUGAUACUGGCAGUCUGGAGUACAGUUGAGGUAGGCGGAAUUCGUGGUGUAGCGGUGAAAUGCUUAGAUAUCACGAAGAACACCGAUUGCGAAGGCAGCUUACUAAACUGCCACUGACGUUGAUGCUCGAAAGUGUGGGUAUCAAACAGGAUUAGAUACCCCGGUAGUC
This 461-nucleotide ribosomal RNA is filed under the name uncultured bacterium. RNAcentral describes it as "partial 16S ribosomal RNA". It matches the Rfam family "Bacterial small subunit ribosomal RNA", at positions 338 to 795 of the family's 1533-position model. The record is from RNAcentral.